Molecule: ribosomal RNA, 330 nt
Filed under: uncultured bacterium
Lineage: Bacteria
Description: bacterial SSU rRNA
Rfam family: Bacterial small subunit ribosomal RNA
Source: RNAcentral
UGCGCAGGCGGUUUCUUAAGUCAGAUGUGAAAGCCCCGGGCUUAACCUGGGAACUGCGUUUGAAACUGGGAGACUUGAGUGCGGCAGAGGGGGGUGGAAUUCCACGUGUAGCAGUGAAAUGCGUAGAUAUGUGGAGGAACACCGAUGGCGAAGGCAGCCCCCUGGGUUAACACUGACGCUCAUGCACGAAAGCGUGGGGAGCAAACAGGAUUAGAUACCCUGGUAGUCCACGCCCUAAACUAUGUCAACUGGUUGUCGGGGGAUUAACUCCCUUGGUAACGAAGCUAACGCGUGAAGUUGACCGCCUGGGGAGUACGGCCGCAAGGUUAA